Molecule: non-coding RNA, 52 nt
Organism: Microvirga lotononidis
Lineage: Bacteria; Pseudomonadati; Pseudomonadota; Alphaproteobacteria; Hyphomicrobiales; Methylobacteriaceae
Source: Rfam
UGGCGGGACACCUCUCCCCACCGAGAGGCGCCCAUCUGUAAGGAUGGAUUAC